AACGAACGCUGGCGGCAUGCCUAACACAUGCAAGUCGAACGAGACCUUCGGGUCUAGUGGCGCACGGGUGCGUAACGCGUGGAAACCUGCCCUUAGGUUCGGAAUAACUCCCCGAAAGGGGUGCUAAUACCGGAUAAUGUCUUCGGACCAAAGAUUUAUCGCCUUUGGAUGGGCCCGCGUUUGAUUAGCUAGUUGGUAGGGUAAAAGCCUACCAAGGCGACGAUCCAUAGCUGGUCUGAGAGGAUGAUCAGCCACACUGGGACUGAGACACGGCCCAGACUCCUACGGGAGGCAGCAGUGGGGAAUAUUGGACAAUGGGCGAAAGCCUGAUCCAGCAAUGCCGCGUGAGUGAUGAAGGCCUUAGGGUUGUAAAGCUCUUUUACCCGGGAUGAUAAUGACAGUACCGGGAGAAUAAGCUCCGGCUAACUCCGUG
RNAcentral lists this ribosomal RNA (433 nucleotides) under uncultured bacterium. RNAcentral's name for it is "partial 16S ribosomal RNA". It matches the Rfam family "Bacterial small subunit ribosomal RNA", at positions 29 to 507 of the family's 1533-position model. The record is from RNAcentral.